Long non-coding RNA from Chinchilla lanigera (long-tailed chinchilla), 1068 nucleotides. RefSeq lists it as uncharacterized. Lineage: Eukaryota; Metazoa; Chordata; Mammalia; Rodentia; Chinchillidae. The record is from RefSeq and is a predicted model, not a curated record. The transcript is spliced from 3 exons.
UCUACCAGUGCCCCUGUAAUCCCAGCCACAAAUCAGUUGGUGAAACGCCCAUCAUGCCAAGGUUGCCAGUGUCCUGAGAGGGAGACACAGACAGUGAAUGGAAUAAAGCCUAGUCCAAAAGAAGCUCAAUUCGUACCUGCGCGGAGAACAGCAAGAGCCCAAGACAUGUUUCUUAAAGAGAUGGGUGGAUGAAGUUCCUCCUCAGUGGGUACAGACUCCAAGACCAUCAGGUCGACUUCUGACAAUCCUGUAAGACUCCAACCCCGUCCAGCCCGAUGCAAGCUUCAAAGCCCAGCAGAGACCACAGCAUGUCUGCUCUCCAGCUGGGCGGGUUUGAGAGCAGAGCCUAGACCCACCCUCCUAUCUUCACAAAGAGAGCUCCGGGUGCUGGGAGAGCCACUGGGAUGGCUGCUGCAGCUGCAGGAAGACCUGUUUUACUGAGCACUUACUAUGGACCCGACAACUCUUAGGGGGCAGGAGCUAUGAAGGUCCCCCCCUACCAUGCUGCUGAUGGAAAAUCUGAGGCUCAGAGAGGUCAAGUGAUGCACCCUAAGUCACUCAGCUGUGAAGGGGUAAAGUCAGGAUGGAAUCCUCCCUCACACAGAGGGAUAGCAGGUGAGCUAUGUUCUCGGCCUCGGCAGGAGUUUUACCCCGGGACAUCGAUAGUGUAGAGCAGGAAAUCAGAGAGAAGCUUCAUCAUCUCAGGCAGCAAAAUGAACUGCUUCUAAGCACCCGCUCCUGCUGAGGCCCAUCUACAAAGCCCGUCACAAAUGGCACAGCUCAGAGUAAAAUAAGUCCUCCCAGGGACAUCAAAGGAGCCACUAUGCACAAGGCACACGGCCCCGGCUCCCAGAGAAGUGGGUGGUGUCCUCUGGGGUCACCCCCCCACACACACACUCUCUGCUGUCCACACUGGAAGGACCUGUCCUUUCUCACAAGCAGCCGCCCAGACACUCUUUGGCCAGCCUGUGUUAAAACUGCCUGAACUGGUGGCCAGCACUUACCACCAGGUAGAUUUCUCAUGCAACCUUGGGAUUCACUUAAAAAAAUAAACCAAGAUGGUGGCUU